RNAcentral lists this small nucleolar RNA (119 nucleotides) under Jaculus jaculus (lesser Egyptian jerboa). Its description in RNAcentral is "Small nucleolar RNA SNORA25 (ENSJJAG00000007222.1)". Lineage: Eukaryota; Metazoa; Chordata; Mammalia; Rodentia; Dipodidae. The record is from RNAcentral.
AAGUACUCAAAUAGGCUUUUUUGGGGCUAUGAAAUCAAGAUCUUUUAACAUUAAUUAAAGAUUGACAUUCUCUGUAGAAUGCCAUAGUCAAUGCUAUGUUUUCCUGUGGAGUUAUAAAA